This 227-nucleotide ribosomal RNA is filed under the name uncultured Bacteroidaceae bacterium. RNAcentral's name for it is "partial 16S ribosomal RNA". It matches the Rfam family "Bacterial small subunit ribosomal RNA", at positions 383 to 607 of the family's 1533-position model. The record is from RNAcentral. Lineage: Bacteria; Pseudomonadati; Bacteroidota; Bacteroidia; Bacteroidales; Bacteroidaceae.
CUGAACCAGCCAAGUAGCGUGAAGGAUGACUGCCCUAUGGGUUGUAAACUUCUUUUAUAUGGGAAUAAAGUGGUCCACGUGUGGAUUUUUGUAUGUACCAUAUGAAUAAGGAUCGGCUAACUCCGUGCCAGCAGCCGAUGUAAUAAUGAGGAUCCGAGCGUUAUCCGGAUUUAUUGGGUUUAAAGGGAGCGUAGGCGGAUUGUUAAGUCAGUUGUGAAAGUUUGCGG